Non-coding RNA from Trichococcus sp., 53 nucleotides. NCBI's taxonomy places the organism in Bacteria, Bacillati, Bacillota, Bacilli, Lactobacillales, Carnobacteriaceae. The record is from Rfam.
GGUAUUGUUUGCCCCACGAUGAGCCCCGGAAACUCAAUUGGAUCAAACAGACA